GUUGAAUAGUGUAAUAGGAGCCUGGUGUUGUGAGAGGAGAGUGGUCCUGGUUGAAUAGUGUAAUAGGGCCUGGUGUUGUGAGAGGAGAGUGGUCCUGGUUGAAUAGUGUAAUAGGAGCCUGGUGUUGUGAGAGGAGAGUGGUCCUGGUUGAAUAGUGUAAUAGGGCCUGGUGUUGUUGUCUCACUAAGGGGCCUAAUGGAUGAUAGAAUGGUCUGGAACACAUGCAUGUACACACAAACACACUCGGUCAUCCCUCUCUUUCUGUGAGUAAUUAUCACACACGCUCAACGCCCUCUCUUUCUCCCACGGUCAGCUCACACUGUGGACCAGGCAUCCUAAAUCCCCCUUAAUGUAGUCUAACUAUUGGCAAGUCUACAGUGUAUAUCUCUAAAACAGUCAGGUCUACAUAUCGAUCUUCAGUCAGGUCUCUCUAUCUAUCUACAGUCAGGUCUCUCUAUCUAUCUACAGUCAGGUCUCUCUCUCUAUCUACAGUCAGGUCUCUCUAUCUAUCUACAGUCAGGUCUCUCUAUCUAUCUACAGUCAGGUCUCUCUAUCUAUCUACAGUCAGGUCUCUCUAUCUAUCUACAGUCAGGUCUCUCUAUCUAUCUACAGUCAGGUCUCUCUAUCUAUCUACAGUCAGGUCUCUAUAUCUAUCUACAGUCAGGUCUCUCUAUCUAUCUACAGUCAGGUCUCUCUAUCUAUCUACAGUCAGGUCUCUCUAUCUAUCUACAGUCAGGUCUCUAUAUCUAUCUACAGUCAGGUCUCUAUAUCUAUCUACAGUCAGGUCUCUCUAUCUAUCUACAGUCAGGUCUCUCUAUCUAUCUACAGUCAGGUCUCUAUAUCUAUCUACAGUCAGGUCUCUAUAUCUAUCUACAGUCAGGUCUCUAUAACUAUCUACAGUCAGGUCUAUCUCUCUGUCAAUCACUAUAAGAUGAUUCAGUUGCGCCUCAUUACCCUGAGGGCCACUGGCAGGUCAGUCUGCUCAUUAAGC
Molecule: long non-coding RNA, 991 nt
Organism: Oncorhynchus keta (chum salmon)
Lineage: Eukaryota; Metazoa; Chordata; Actinopteri; Salmoniformes; Salmonidae
Exons: 3
Source: RefSeq, a predicted model, not a curated record